Molecule: ribosomal RNA, 497 nt
Filed under: uncultured bacterium
Lineage: Bacteria
Description: partial 16S ribosomal RNA
Rfam family: Bacterial small subunit ribosomal RNA
Source: RNAcentral
GAUGAACGCUGGCGGCGUGCCUAAUACAUGCAAGUCGAGCGAACGGACGAGAAGCUUGCUUCUCUGAUGUUAGCGGCGGACGGGUGAGUAACACGUGGAUAACCUACCUAUAAGACUGGGAUAACUUCGGGAAACCGUAGCUAAUACCGGAUAAUAUUUUGAACCGCAUGGUUCAAAAGUGAAAGACGGUCUUGCUGUCACUUAUAGAUGGAUCCGCGCUGCAUUAGCUAGUUGGUAAGGUAACGGCUUACCAAGGCAACGAUGCAUAGCCGACCUGAGAGGGUGAUCGGCCACACUGGAACUGAGACACGGUCCAGACUCCUACGGGAGGCAGCAGUAGGGAAUCUUCCGCAAUGGGCGAAGGCCUGACGGGGCAACGCCGCGUGAGUGAUGAAGGUCUUCGGAUCGUAAAACUCUGUUAUUAGGGAAGAACAUAUGUGUAAGUAACUGUGCACAUCUUGACGGUACCUAAUCAGAAAGCCACGGCUAACUACGUG